This is a small nucleolar RNA of Suncus etruscus (white-toothed pygmy shrew), 126 nucleotides long. RefSeq annotates it as small nucleolar RNA SNORA51. NCBI's taxonomy places the organism in Eukaryota, Metazoa, Chordata, Mammalia, Eulipotyphla, Soricidae. The record is from RefSeq and is a predicted model, not a curated record. The transcript has a single exon.
UGCACUUUGGUCACAAUAAAAAUUAAAAAAAAAUAAAAAAAGGAAGAGGAUGUACAGUAAAUGCACCCAAUAUACACCUCAACCCAGGCCCUUUGCCUGGUCUAUAUUGUGAAUUGGGGGACAAAA